GAUGAACGCUGGCGGCGUGCCUAAUACAUGCAAGUCGAGCGAACAGACGAGGAGCUUGCUCCUCUGACGUUAGCGGCGGACGGGUGAGUAACACGUGGAUAACCUACCUAUCAGACUGGGAUAACUUCGGGAAACCGGAGCUAAUACCGGAUAAUAUAUUGAACCGCAUGGUUCAAUAGUGAAAGACGGUUUUGCUGUCACUUAUAGAUGGAUCCGCGCCGCAUUAGCUAGUUGGUAAGGUAACGGCUUACCAAGGCACCGAUGCGUAGCCGACCUGAGAGGGUGAUCGGCCACACUGGAACUGAGACACGGUCCAGACUCCUACGGGAGGCAGCAGUAGGGAAUCUUCCGCAAUGGGCGAAAGCCUGACGGAGCAACGCCGCGUGAGUGAUGAAGGUCUUCGGAUCGUAAAACUCUGUUAUUAGGGAAGAACAAAUGUGUAAGUAACUAUGCACGUCUUGACGGUACCUAAUCAGAAAGCCACGGCUAACUACGUG
RNAcentral lists this ribosomal RNA (497 nucleotides) under uncultured bacterium. Its description in RNAcentral is "partial 16S ribosomal RNA". It matches the Rfam family "Bacterial small subunit ribosomal RNA", at positions 28 to 507 of the family's 1533-position model. The record is from RNAcentral.